RNAcentral lists this ribosomal RNA (421 nucleotides) under uncultured bacterium. Its description in RNAcentral is "bacterial SSU rRNA". It matches the Rfam family "Bacterial small subunit ribosomal RNA", at positions 355 to 773 of the family's 1533-position model. The record is from RNAcentral.
UAGGGAAUAUUGGGCAAUGGAUGCAAGUCUGACCCAGCCAUGCCGCGUGCCGGAAGAAGGCCCUCAGGGUUGUAAACGGCUUUUAUUCGGGAAGAAGAGCAGGGAUGCGUCCUUGUGUGACGGUACCGAAUGAAUAAGCACCGGCUAACCCCGUGCCAGCAGCCGCGGUAAUACGGAGGGUGCGAGCGUUGUCCGGAUUUAUUGGGUUUAAAGGGUGCGUAGGUGGCUUUAUAAGUCAGUGGUGAAAUACAGCCGCUCAACGGUUGAGGUGCCAUGGAUACUGUAGAGCUUGAGACGAUUGGAGGCUGCGGGCAUGGAUGGUGUAGCGGGGAAAUGCAUAGAUAUCAUCCAGAACACCGAUUGCGAAGGCAGGUGGCUACGUUUGAUUUGCCACUGAGGCACGAAAGCAUGGGGAGCAAAC